GUGCCUCAGCAGCACAUAUGCUAAAAUUGGAAUGAUACAGAGGAGAUUAGCAUGGCCCCUGCACAAAGAUAACAUGCAAAUUUGUGCAGCAUUCUGUAUUUUU
Molecule: small nuclear RNA, 103 nt
Filed under: Dasypus novemcinctus (nine-banded armadillo)
Lineage: Eukaryota; Metazoa; Chordata; Mammalia; Cingulata; Dasypodidae
Source: RNAcentral